This 622-nucleotide ribosomal RNA is filed under the name uncultured bacterium. Its description in RNAcentral is "bacterial SSU rRNA". The stretch from base 1 to 527 matches the Rfam family "Bacterial small subunit ribosomal RNA", at positions 338 to 873 of the family's 1533-position model. The record is from RNAcentral.
CCUACGGGAGGCAGCAGUGGGGAAUAUUGGACAAUGGGCGGAAGCCUGAUCCAGCAACGCCGCGUGAGGGGUGACGGCCUUCGGGUUGUAAACCUCUUUCAGUACCGACGAAGCGCCGAUGAUGGUGGUGACGGUAGGUACAGAAGAAGCACCGGCCAACUACGUGCCAGCAGCCGCGGUAAUACGUAGGGUGCGAGCGUUGUCCGGAAUUAUUGGGCGUAAAGGGCUCGUAGGCGGUUUGUCGCGUCGGGAGUGAAAAUCCAGGGCUUAACUCUGGACUGGCUUUCGAUACGGGCAGACUAGAGGUAUGCAGGGGAGAACGGAAUUCCUGGUGUAGCGGUGAAAUGCGCAGAUAUCAGGAGGAACACCGGUGGCGAAGGCGGUUCUCUGGGCAUUACCUGACGCUGAGGAGCGAAAGUGUGGGGAGCGAACAGGAUUAGAUACCCUGGUAGUCCACACGUAACGUAGGUCGCGUAGUGUGGGUCGUACUCUAUGGUUCGUCGCGCNGCUACGCAUAGUCGCCCGCCGUCGGGUAGGUACGGCCGCGACGACGUAAACCGUACGAAACGGAAAGUAAGUACGGUCGUUGAGACGUUGCCGACGGCGACGACGAGGGAGGAGG